Molecule: non-coding RNA, 732 nt
Filed under: Mecodina praecipua
Lineage: Eukaryota; Metazoa; Arthropoda; Insecta; Lepidoptera; Erebidae
Source: RNAcentral
AUAAAUUUUAGUGUUAAAUUAGUUUUAUUUAAAUAAUAAAUUUAUUUUUUGUAGUAAUUAAUAUUAAAUAUUUAAGAAAUUAAGAUUUAGUAAUAUUUAAAUUAAUAACAAAUUUUGUGCCAGCAGUUGCGGUUAAACAAAAAUUAAAUUAAAUUUUGUUAGUAAUUAAUAAAUAAAAUGUUAUAUAAUUUAAAAUUUAAAUUAUUAAGUGAAAUUUUAAUUUAAUAAAAUAUUAUAUUAUAUUAUGAAUUAAUAAAUUUUAUUACAAACUAGGAUUAGAUACCCUAUUAUUAAAAUUUUAAAUUUAAAUACUAAAAUAGUAAUUAAUUUAUUUAUUGAAACUUAAAUAACUUGGCGGUAUUUUAGUUCAUUUAGAGGAAUCUGUUUAAUAAUUGAUAAUCCACGAAUAAAUUUACUUAAUUUUUAAUUUUGUAUAUCGUUGUUAAAAAAAUAUUUUUUUUAAAUAAUAAUAUUUUAAAUUUAUAAUAAAAAUUAAAUCAGAUCAAGAUGCAGAUUAUAAUUAAGAAUAUAAUGGAUUACAAUAAAUUUAUUUAUAUGAAUUUUAUUUUGUAAUAAAUAUUUGAAAGUGGAUUUAAAUGUAAUUUUAUUUAUUUUAAUAAAAUGAUUUAAAAUUGAAAUAUGUACAUAUUGCCCGUCGCUUUCAUAUGAAUAUAAUAAAAUUGAAAUAAGUCGUAACAAAGUAGGGGUACUGGAAAGUGUUUCUAGAAAGAC